UACGAAGGGGGCUAGCGUUGCUCGGAAUUACUGGGCGUAAAGGGCGCGUAGGCGGCACUGUUAGUCAGGCGUGAAAGUCCUGGGCUCAACCUGGGAACUGCGCUUGAUACGGCAGAGCUAGAGGAUGGAAGAGGCUCGCGGAAUUCCCAGUGUAGAGGUGAAAUUCGUAGAUAUUGGGAAGAACACCGGUGGCGAAGGCGGCGAGCUGGUCCAUUACUGACGCUGAGGCGCGACAGCGCGGGGAGCAAACAGG
RNAcentral lists this ribosomal RNA (253 nucleotides) under uncultured bacterium. RNAcentral describes it as "partial 16S ribosomal RNA". It matches the Rfam family "Bacterial small subunit ribosomal RNA", at positions 524 to 776 of the family's 1533-position model. The record is from RNAcentral.